UAUUUAGUGAGGCUGAAAGUAUCCGAUUGAACGAAAAACAGUCCUAACAGAGUAACUGGUCUUUUUGCUAUUCUCAACUGAGAAAAUGGAAGACCCGAAAGCUGCCCCGAACCCACCAACUGCAACCGCAAACGCAGCCGCUCCUCCACCGCAGCCACCACCCGCAGCACCAGAACAGCCAGCUAGCAAGAAAAGACCUCUAGAAAACAGCAAUGACCAGUACCACAGAAUUCUCCGUAUUUCAAGACGAGUCUUGUUCUCAAAGAUCUUCGUACUCAUUUCAUCGAGGUUCUUCGAGUGUCUGAUUUUCGAAACUGCAAGGCAGCCGAUGAAAUAAAAGAAAAGACAAAGCAUUUAGUGGAAUUGUACAAUCAGAUGUUAGCCUCCGUAGAGAAAAGUAACAGUGCACCCGGAGCCGGAGGUCAGACACUGCAAGUUGAAACCAGAAUGAAGCAGAAGCCCCAGGAGCAACCGCAAGUCAUUAAGCCAACACCAGCAGUAUCAUCCAAAACCAAGAUUUUGCAGUCAAGUAGUGUCACCAGGAAACUACAAUCUGACGAUGGUGGUGAAGCUACAAUCUGACGAUGGUGAAGCUCAGGGGACAUAUAUUGUUGGGGGCUCGGCUUUUGGGUGGAACUUUAUAACCUUUACAGGGAAUAAACCAGUCUAUUAUGGGGUAACAAAGGAAUCGUUCCGUAGUGCUCAAGCAAGUUCUGGUUUAGGGGGAGAGUGAAAGUCUUUCUGACAUGUAUUGUGGGCUAAAUAUUGCAUAAACACUAAAUGCUUUUGGAGCUCAAACGUUA
Hibiscus syriacus is the source of this 803-nucleotide long non-coding RNA. RefSeq lists it as uncharacterized. Lineage: Eukaryota; Viridiplantae; Streptophyta; Magnoliopsida; Malvales; Malvaceae. The record is from RefSeq and is a predicted model, not a curated record. The transcript has 3 exons.